RNAcentral lists this unclassified non-coding RNA (295 nucleotides) under uncultured Leotiomycetes. RNAcentral describes it as "sequence contains ITS1". The stretch from base 1 to 105 matches the Rfam family "5.8S ribosomal RNA", at positions 50 to 154 of the family's 154-position model. Lineage: Eukaryota; Fungi; Ascomycota; Leotiomycetes. The record is from RNAcentral.
GAAAUGCGAUAAGUAAUGUGAAUUGCAGAAUUCAGUGAAUCAUCGAAUCUUUGAACGCAUAUUGCACCUUCUGGUAUUCUGGGAGGUAUGCCUGUUCGAGCGUCAUUACGACCAACAAGCCUUGAGCUUGGUGUUGGAUGUUACCAUAGUAAGGUACAUCUUAAAAUCAAUGAGCAGUAUUCUUAGCUUCGAGUGGAGUAAUUUUAUCUCACUUUUGGAGCCUUAGAUGCUCUGCCGAAUAAUUAACUUUUCAUGGUUUGACCUCGGAUCAGGUAGGGAUACCCGCUGAACUUAA